Molecule: non-coding RNA, 30 nt
Filed under: Mus musculus (house mouse)
Lineage: Eukaryota; Metazoa; Chordata; Mammalia; Rodentia; Muridae
Source: RNAcentral
UGAAGAAUUUGUUGCCCUGUGGCUUGCCCA